AACGAACGCUGGCGGCAUGCCUAACACAUGCAAGUCGAACGAGACCUUCGGGUCUAGUGGCGCACGGGUGCGUAACGCGUGGGAACCUUCCCUUAGGUUCGGAAUAACUCCCCGAAAGGGGUUCUAAUACCGGAUAAUGUCUUCGGACCAAAGAUUUAUCGCCUUUGGAUGGGCCCGGGUUGUAUUAGCUAGUUGGUAGGGUAAAAGCCUACUAAGGCGACGAUCCAUAGCUGGUCUGAGAGGAUGAUCAGCCACACGGGGACUGAGACACGGCCCAGACUCCUACGGGAGGAAGCAGUGGGGAAUAUUGGACAAGGGGCGAAGGCCUAAUCAAGCAAUGCGGGGGGAGUGAUGAAGGCCUUAGGGUUGUAAAGGUCUUUUACCCGGGAUGAUAAUGACAGUACCGGAAGAAUAAGCUCCGGCUAACUCCGUG
This 433-nucleotide ribosomal RNA is filed under the name uncultured bacterium. Its description in RNAcentral is "partial 16S ribosomal RNA". It matches the Rfam family "Bacterial small subunit ribosomal RNA", at positions 29 to 507 of the family's 1533-position model. The record is from RNAcentral.